UUCUACCCAGAGCCAUAUAGAGUGAGAGUUGCGACAACUCCAUUGACUCCAAUGGAACGCUUUUUUUACAGCAAUGGCGGCUCGUGGAGCCUCUCAAUAGUUCCCGGAAGUAGAGGCAAACCGAUGCCGCGCCGUAGAAGAUGCAGCAGAACAAACCGUUUGCGACGCACUUUUAACAGACCCAGGUAACUGGCUGAUGGUUCACUGGAAUGCUGACUGGCUGCUGACUGACUUGCUGCUGGUUGACUGGGCAGUGUCACCUGUCCCUGUCUCUUCUCUCUAGCCAUGUCCUUUUUCUUCACUCUCACUUUCCUUUCUCUGAGUGUCCUCGUUCUUUUUUCCUCAACCUUUGAAACUGAUAGAGGUAGAAUACAUGGUUUUGCUAAUUUUAAAUAUUGAAAAUAUCACAUCACUUUACUUCAACUAGUACGAGUUUGUACUUAUUAUAUAUGAAUCACCUGAAAUAACAUAGCUGUAAUCAGCAGCCAUUUCUUGUAUGUUCACAGGUCUAGGGGUGCAUCGUGGAGCAGGGCCCUCCUCUUUUUGACCACAGGACGGUGUACAAAGAUUGUGGGAAUAGCAUCUGGUCUCAGCCUACUCUUGAAUUUUUUGGCCAAGACAAAUUGCAUUGCCGCAAUUUGUCUGCAUACUGACUUCAGUUUAGUUUCCACACACACCUUUUUCUUGUCUACCCACUUACAGUACAUAUCACAUGGUGGUUAAAUGCACAGUUAUAGGUAACACUGAUGACUCCCUGCAAUGUCUCACCAUGAGUCUCAGCUCCCUGGGUUUUGCAAGGCUUUGCUUGUUCCUUAUUUCUAGUAAAACAUUGUCAAUGUAAAAAAGUGCAAAUAAAUGUAAGUAUAAUUACCUAACAAUUUUUUGUUGUUGUAAUUUUUAUUUGUAUUUAGAUUGCUCCUGCUGACUUGAGCCAACCAUUAUUUUCUCCUCUCUAUGUCAGCGGGGAAGCCAUACAUUCGCACACCUUUCUCUGACUGAGUGGAGCAUCCCCAUGCAGCACAGUAAACCACGGUGGAGACUAUGCAAGGACAACAUGAAAGAAAGGACACAUACAAAAUGCUUGUCAUGCUAUUAAAUUUAUUAGAAAUGUAUUCAUGAAUUGCUGUAAAUAGUUAAUUGUAUAAUUACAAUUUAAAAUAACUGUUUUCUAUUUUAAAAUGGAAUAUACUCCUGUGAUGCCAA
Long non-coding RNA from Carassius gibelio (silver crucian carp), 1203 nucleotides. RefSeq lists it as uncharacterized. Lineage: Eukaryota; Metazoa; Chordata; Actinopteri; Cypriniformes; Cyprinidae. The transcript is spliced from 2 exons. The record is from RefSeq and is a predicted model, not a curated record.